UCCAACCUGCUCCUCUCUCAGCUGGACAGUAAGGGCCGUUCACACCACACACUGACAACAUGCUGGGGACACUCUGCACUCUCAUCGCUGUGCUAUCAUAUGUGAGUGGAGUGACAGUGGUGACACAGAAGCCUCCUGUUCUGUCAGUGAAUAAAGGAGAUACGGCCACUAUGGACUGUAACCUCGGGACUGUGACUGAUCGUACUGCUCGCUGGUACAAGCAGGUUCCAGGCAGUGCUCCUCAGCAUGUGCUGCGUUUCUACCACUCUUGGAGCUCUCCUAGCUAUGGAGUUGGAUUCUCCUCCCCCCGCUUCACAUCCAAUCAUCAGAGUAAAUCUGAUUAUCGAUUAAUAAUUAAAACUGUGGAGGCAGGAGACUCAGCAGUGUAUUACUGUGAAACAUGGGACAGCUCUGCGAGUGAGAUCGUAUUCGGCCAAGGCACCAAGUUGAUUGUCGCUGAUUCUUCUCUUGCUGCGCCUACCCUCUCUCUCCUGCCUCCAUCCAGCGAGGAGCUGAAGACAGAUAAAGCCACGGUGGUGUGCCUGGCGCAGAUGUCUGUUGGGUUCGCUGAUGUCAGCUGGACAUCGGACGGGAAACCAGUUACCGGCGGGGUUUUUACCGGCACCGCCGAACAGAAACCCGACAAAACCUUCGGUUUGAGCAGCUUCUUAACCAUCACGCCCUCCGAAUGGAUUACCGACCGCGUCUUUACCUGUAAAGUAUCUGUCGGGUCUAAAACCUCAGAGAAAAGUAUCAAAAAGUCUGACUGCAGUGGCUAAACUUUGUGAGAUCAUGUAUUAAAUGUUUGAUCUCGCUUUGUGUCCGCAAUAGGGUAGUGUUGUGUUGAGUGAAUUUGCCUUAAUAAACGAGAAUGCAUUGUUUUAAAAAAAAUAAAAUUAGUACGCUUUCGGAAUUAAAUGUAGACUAUCCCAUGCGUUUAUGUGUGGACUGAGUUGUGUUUUUCUGUGUGCUUGAAUUGUGUAGAGAUUAAAUAAAAAUCAUUGCAUGUAUUACAA
Non-coding RNA from Anguilla anguilla (European eel), 1016 nucleotides. The record is from the annotation of a RefSeq genome assembly. Lineage: Eukaryota; Metazoa; Chordata; Actinopteri; Anguilliformes; Anguillidae.